GGCUGCAAAACAGGGAUAAAAAAUUUCUGACCUUUCGGUACUAAAAUACCUAUAAGUUCCUGCUGGAAAUUCUGAUUUGUACAAAACUGACUUCAUUCGAAACUAGACUUGUAAACCUUUCUUUUGACACAUAGAGUGAUAAAUUUGGAAUUCAUAUGCCUAUCCUGUUAUCUGUUGAACCCGACCCUAUGAAUUCUGCAGAACAGUGAUUUUGUUUUGACCUUUGAUUACUAAAUCCAUGGUAACUCCGUGUUGGAAACCCUGUUUCAUAUGAAAUUUGUUCCAUCAGAAUAUAGAUUGAUAUAUUGUUCGACCAUAGCUUUCUUGGGGGUAUUGGAGCAUAAUUGAUAUUCUGAAGUAUUUGUUCGAUGUGCCACUUGAAUUCUGUCAGAAAUCCAGCUUUGGUC
This 407-nucleotide long non-coding RNA is filed under the name Musa acuminata (dwarf banana). RNAcentral describes it as "long non-coding RNA (MACU_LNC008548)". Lineage: Eukaryota; Viridiplantae; Streptophyta; Magnoliopsida; Zingiberales; Musaceae. The record is from RNAcentral.